CCCCGAGGGACACGGAGCACACGGGGCUCUGUCAGGAGAGAGCCCCGAGGGACACGGAGCACACGGCAGAGCUGAAUGCCAGAGGCUGAGUCCCAACCCCUGGGUCCAAGGCUUGAUCCAGAAUGAUGAAUACAUAUGCAGCACAGCUGACCGUCUGCUACUAUUUUGCUUUCAUAUCUCCAAACUUCAUCCAUUCUUCCCAUGCUCU
Molecule: non-coding RNA, 208 nt
Organism: Lonchura striata (white-rumped munia)
Lineage: Eukaryota; Metazoa; Chordata; Aves; Passeriformes; Estrildidae
Source: RefSeq, a predicted model, not a curated record